This 510-nucleotide ribosomal RNA is filed under the name uncultured bacterium. RNAcentral's name for it is "bacterial SSU rRNA". It matches the Rfam family "Bacterial small subunit ribosomal RNA", at positions 28 to 521 of the family's 1533-position model. The record is from RNAcentral.
AAUCAACGCUGGCGGCGUGCCUAACACAUGCAAGUCGAACGCGAGAGGGGCUUCGGCCCCGAUUGAGUGGCGAACGGGUGAGUAACGCGUGGGUGACCUACCUUCGAGUGGGGGAUAACGUCCCGAAAGGGACGCUAAUACCGCAUAACAUCCUGCUUUUGAAUGGGUGGAGAUCAAAGCCGGGGAUCGCAAGACCUGGCGCUUGAUGAGGGGCCCGCGUCUGAUUAGCUAGNGGUGAGGUAACGGCCCACCAAGGCAACGAUCAGUAUCCGGCCUGAGAGGGCGGACGGACACACUGGGACUGAGACACGGCCCAGACUCCUACGGGAGGCAGCAGUGGGGAAUUGUUCGCAAUGGGCGCAAGCCUGACGACGCAACGCCGCGUGGAGGAUGAAGGUCUUCGGAUUGUAAACUCCUGUUGCCCGGGACGAAUGGCUCCGACCUAACACGUCGGAGUGUGACGGUACCGGGUGAGGAAGCCCCGGCUAACUCUGUGCCAGCCGCCGCGGU